GCGCAUUAGCUAGUCGGCGGGGUAACGGCCCACCGAGGCGACGAUGCGUAGGGGUUCUGAGAGGAAGGCCCCCCACACUGGUACUGAGACACGGACCAGACUCCUACGGGAGGCAGCAGUGAGGAAUAUUGGUCAAUGGGCGCGAGCCUGAACCAGCCAAGUCGCGUGAGGGAGGACGGCCCUACGGGUUGUAAACCUCUUUUGCCGGGGAGCAACGGGCGCCACGUGUGGCGUCACUGAGAGUACCCGGAGAAAAAGCAUCGGCUAACUCCGUGCCAGCAGCCGCGGUAAUACGGAGGAUGCGAGCGUUAUCCGGAUUUAUUGGGUUUAAAGGGUGCGUAGGCGGAUCGUUAAGUCAGUGGUCAAAUUGAGGGGCUCAACCCCUUCCCGCCAUUGAAACUGGCGAUCUUGAGUGGAAGAGAAGUAUGCGGAAUGCGUGGUGUAGCGGUGAAAUGCAUAGAUAUCACGCAGAACCCCGAUUGCGAAGGCAGCAUGCCGGCUUCCGACUGACGCUGAAGCACGAAAGCGUGGGGAUCGAACAGGAUUAGAUACCCUGGUAGUCCACGCGGUAAACGAUGAGCGCUAGGUGUCCGGGGGGAAUGGCCCCUGG
This 610-nucleotide ribosomal RNA is filed under the name uncultured bacterium. Its description in RNAcentral is "bacterial SSU rRNA". It matches the Rfam family "Bacterial small subunit ribosomal RNA", at positions 236 to 842 of the family's 1533-position model. The record is from RNAcentral.